UACAUGGGGUGCAAACGUUGCUCGGAAUUAUUGGGCGUAAAGCGUGCGUAGGCGGUUACUUAAGUCGGAUGUGAAAGCCCUCGGCUUAACUGAGGAAGUGCACCCGAAACUGAGUAGCUAGAGUACGAAAGAGGGUCGCGGAAUUCCCGGUGUAGAGGUGAAAUUCGUAGAUAUCGGGAGGAACACCGGUGGCGAAGGCGGCGACCUGGGUCGAGACUGACGCUGAGGCGCGAAAGCGUGGGGAGCAAACAGG
This 253-nucleotide ribosomal RNA is filed under the name uncultured bacterium. RNAcentral's name for it is "partial 16S ribosomal RNA". It matches the Rfam family "Bacterial small subunit ribosomal RNA", at positions 524 to 776 of the family's 1533-position model. The record is from RNAcentral.